Long non-coding RNA from Dermacentor andersoni, 427 nucleotides. RefSeq lists it as uncharacterized. The record is from RefSeq and is a predicted model, not a curated record. NCBI's taxonomy places the organism in Eukaryota, Metazoa, Arthropoda, Arachnida, Ixodida, Ixodidae.
GCACGGGGCAUUGGGACCUGCAGGCCGAAUGCACCUGCAGUGCACAUGGGUCACAACAACGCAGAAUGUGAUAUCAAGAUGACUCAAGGUCGCUGGGCUACCACUCUGCUGUAUUCGGCUGCAAAAAUAACUUUUGGAAGCAAGUGCGAAGUGCAUCUUCAGCAGCGGCGACUUCAUGGACACCGCCGUUGCGAUAGCAGAGAAGCGUCUGCUUUGUAUUGCCAGCAUAGACAGAAAGGACUUGAUGUCAUAGAGUGCAUGUUCGGGAUGUUUUGUUCCCAAGGAGUGCUCAGCAACAAAUUCGGAAUUCGACACCCAUGAUCAAACUGUGGUAUGAAAGAAAGGCGCAUAUUUGAGUCGGUCAACCAUUGCGAAUGAAUGAUGUUAACUAUUUCUUCGUGCACAAACAUUAAAAUUAUUCUGCUCA